AGGUGAAUCUACAUGGGGGAAGUAAAAAAGAUUUCACGGAAAGACUUGCUGGAUUAUUCAAAGGAUCUGGUUCCACAUCAACAAACAUCAGUGAAAGGAGAUACAAAAUCAAUUCAACUCAAAGGCCGCUGACUAGGAAUACAAGUGAUUCUCAAUUAAAAAAAAAUGAAUGAACCAAAUGAAUGAGGAAACUACAUUCAAAUAAAAAAAUUCAGCAAAUGCCUGAGAUAUGUCAUUGAAUUCCUGAAACAAAGAACAUAAUAAACGAAUUGUUUGAAA
Molecule: long non-coding RNA, 279 nt
Organism: Leptinotarsa decemlineata (Colorado potato beetle)
Lineage: Eukaryota; Metazoa; Arthropoda; Insecta; Coleoptera; Chrysomelidae
Source: RefSeq, a predicted model, not a curated record